This is a non-coding RNA of Danio rerio (zebrafish), 71 nucleotides long. NCBI's taxonomy places the organism in Eukaryota, Metazoa, Chordata, Actinopteri, Cypriniformes, Danionidae. The record is from Rfam.
GCAUUGGUGGUUCAGUGGUGGAAUUCGUGCCUGCCACGCGGGAGACCUGGGUCCGAUUUACGGCCAAUGCA